AUACACUUCAUCUAGUAGUUCCAUCGGCGCAUCUACAGUUCCAUCGGGUUUGUCCAAAUUGAUUUCUGAGCAUAUGGCAAUGACGGAGCCAGGAAAAAAUUUUAGGUGGGGUGAGUUCUAAGAGCAUCUUCAAGAAUGCUCCAUUUUUCUUUCUCAUCUGUCUUUUGGAAAAAAAGAAAAAAUCAUUUCUAAAAGUUUUCCAUAUCUCUUCUCUACCUUUUCGCACUUGCCAAACCACUGUCACCUAUGCGCAAUUAUACGCGCGGUCUGAGAGCGCGCAUCCCGAGAAGUAGCACGAGAUGGGAAAGAAAAAGAAGAAAAAUAUAGGGUUCUAGGUAAGAAGAGCGCAAGAGAAAGAUCUAGUGGAAAGGCUUAAAUACAUAGAGAAACAAAAUUCAGGAUUUCUUAUGCAAAACAUGAGACCAAGUCGUGG
RNAcentral lists this long non-coding RNA (433 nucleotides) under Sorghum bicolor (sorghum). RNAcentral describes it as "long non-coding RNA (SBIC_LNC018775)". The record is from RNAcentral. Lineage: Eukaryota; Viridiplantae; Streptophyta; Magnoliopsida; Poales; Poaceae.